This is an RNA transcript of Populus euphratica (Euphrates poplar), 1330 nucleotides long. RefSeq lists it as uncharacterized. The transcript has 4 exons. The record is from RefSeq and is a predicted model, not a curated record. NCBI's taxonomy places the organism in Eukaryota, Viridiplantae, Streptophyta, Magnoliopsida, Malpighiales, Salicaceae.
GCCACCAAUCUUCUUCUCUCACACGCCAUCAUCAUUUAAAACGUAUAAUAAAGCAGCCCAUUUUUCAAGAGGAAAUAAAACACACUCACUUCCUCUCACUCAAUUCCAUUUUCCAGGAAAAAGCAAUUUCUAUUUCUGUAUCCGUUGGAAUAGAAUGAUGGAUCUGUGGGCAGUCCAUGUAAAGAAUACAACUGGAAGCCCUUUUUGUUUGAGAAAUCAUUCAAUUCCAGAGAGAUCAUUUGUUUCCUCCAAUUUUGGGAAAUUUAGGGUUUUGAAGCAUAACAUUUCUUCUUCCGGGUAUCAUUCUUUGGGAGUUAAAGCUAUGGCUAAGAGGAAUAGUAAUGAUAACUCCAAUUCCUCUUCUUCUUCUCCUUCUGGAAAUGGAGAUGGCUCAAAAGGAAGUAACCAUCCUGAUGGGAACAAAUCCAAUGACUAUGCUUCCCAAAAGUCUCACAGGGUAAACUUGGACUGGAGAGAGUUUAGAGCAAAUUUAUUUGCUCAGGAGCAGGAAGAGAAGGCAGAAUCUGAUGCUCACAGCCAAACUGGGACACCCCAAGAGUCGAAACCCCUUGGCCUGAAAUGGGCCCACCCUAUUCCUGUACCUGAGACUGGUUGUGUCCUUGUUGCUACAGAAAAACUUGACGGAGUUCGCACUUUUGAAAGAACUGUUGUUCUCCUCCUCAGAUCUGGAACCAGACAUCCACAAGAGGGACCAUUUGGAGUUGUCGUUAACCGUCCACUGAACAAAAAGAUUAGGCAGAUGAAGCCCACAAAUAUGGAAUUAGAAACCACUUUUGCUGAUUGUUCUCUUCAUUUUGGUGGACCUCUUGAUGCAAGCAUGUUUUUAUUAAAAAGUCGGGAGAAGAAGAUUAAAGAGUUCGAAGAGGUGAUCCCUGGCCUGUGUUUUGGUGCUGGAAAUAGUUUGGAUGAAGCUGGAGCACUUGUGAGAAAAGGGGUGCUGAAGCCUCAGGAUUUCAGAUUCUUUGUCGGUUAUGCUGGGUGGCAGCUAGAUCGGUUGAGGGAGGAGAUUGAAUCAGAUUAUUGGUAUGUGGCUGCAUGUAGCUCAAAUCUGAUUUGUGGGGGUUCAUCAGAAAGUUUAUGGGAGGAGAUUUUGCAGCUAAUGGGUGGUCAUUACUCGGAACUAAGCCGAAAGCCCAAGCAGGAUAUGUAGGUAAUUAUGAGCUAUCGGUGUUCCUGAAAUCAAGAAGCCGUUCCUGAAGCUAAAGCCAGAUAUGUAAUUAAGGACAAAGAAGCUUCCCACUUGAGAGUGGUUCUGCAGGGUGAGGAGAAAGGCACCACGAGGAUGCGACGGAGUAAUUGUUUUGAGAAU